Phasianus colchicus (ring-necked pheasant) is the source of this 1036-nucleotide long non-coding RNA. RefSeq lists it as uncharacterized. The record is from RefSeq and is a predicted model, not a curated record. NCBI's taxonomy places the organism in Eukaryota, Metazoa, Chordata, Aves, Galliformes, Phasianidae.
GGUAUGUCUCUUUGAGGUCAAACAGGAUGCGCAGGCUCUGAACCUUCUUCAAGUGCUCCUGAAGUUUAAGCAAACUUAAAACAGAUGCUAUAACGACAAGAUGGUGGAGUUUAAUUGGGAAUUGUGAUGGUUAAAGAUGGGAAGAAGACAGAAUAAAGCCCAGAGGAAGAGGAAGUGACACAAUGAUUGCCCAGGUUUAUGGGAAGGAAGAUGCAAGAGGUGGGAAUUUGCAAUAAGAAUGUCCUUUUACUGAGAAAGAGCCCAGCCAUUGUUACUUGUUGCUGAGAAAAGGAUAAUGCUGCUAUCAGCUUCAUUAUCUACUUCACCUCUGGUUCAUUCACCAGCUGCAUCCUUAAGUCAAUAUUUCUCCAGCAAAUUACGUAUUUCCAGUUGUAGAAACCUUGAGGAGAUGACCUUUCAACCUGGUCUGCAGAGACCCCCCGCAGGUCUGCUGCAGACAACGUUGUAUGCUGUGUGCUCAGUCUGUUCUCCAGCCCUGAGGGAUGACAUCAAGAAACCCAGUGGUGCUAUCGAUGUGGCACUUGGUCCUAGCAGAAUUCAGAGGAAUUUCUCCUAGAAGCCUUCCUGGGCACGUGUGUGCUCUGUGGAGAGGGGGCAGAGCCUUGCAAACAGCAGUAUCUUCUUCCCAUCUUGGUUGCAGUCUACCAGAAGCCCAAACCAAGAAAACAACCCCAAGGGAAUAAUUUUCACUCGGACUCUCAGGAACCUUAUCCCCUGCGUAGGUGAAAGAUGAUGCAAUGCUGACAUGGAUUCUGCUGCCUCCUGUUUCUGUGGAGCACCUUCAACUCUGACUGAGGGGUUAUUGCAGCAGACAGUGGUCACUUCGUUUAACCAGUUAUGGGAGUGGUUACUUUUUAGCCGAUAGUAUGGAAAUCUUAUACUUCAGCAGCUCUCACUGAGACGUAUUAAAACUACUUUGAAUCCUUGGCUGAUUUGCUGGUAUUUAAAACAUCUUAACUAGUACAUUUAACAGAAAACAUUUUAGAUGAAUUGUCCAGUACUUUCUUUUUUUUAA